This is a long non-coding RNA of Ailuropoda melanoleuca (giant panda), 552 nucleotides long. RefSeq lists it as uncharacterized. The transcript is spliced from 3 exons. The record is from RefSeq and is a predicted model, not a curated record. Lineage: Eukaryota; Metazoa; Chordata; Mammalia; Carnivora; Ursidae.
UCGGCGCCGAGGCCUCGCGGGGGUCCGCCAAUGAUGCGCCAAGGAACUCCAUGACCUCAUCGGGAGGCUCUCUCACUGGCUGCGGCCGCCGCGCCGGGCCCGCCCCUCCCAUUAGGGCUCGGGAUUUCUGCGUGGGCCCCGCCCCCUAGCGUGAAGGCCUCUUGGGUUUCUAACUGGGUCUGCAAGCUUCGCAGGUUUCUCUUAAAACGCAUUCCCCAGAAGAAAACUUCUUCCUGAGAAAGAUUUGAGUGUUCCUUUCAACCUGCCAAAACACUGGUUUUCUGCGCUGACUUUUCACUGUGGAUGAAUUUCUCAAGCCCGAUCGUAUUGUGCAAUGCUAGUGAUCUUCUCUCCCACAUUUAACCUGGGAAUUAACUGACGUCCAGAAAGGGAAUAGGACUUUCACAAGGUCACACAGCAGCAGCCUUGUUCAUCAAAGUGUGGGUGCUGGAGGUGUGACACACGGAGGACGGCUGACCAGCGUGCUACCAGCACACCCCGGGGUAUUCCACACCAGAGAAAAGGAGGGAACCACAGCCUUCAACACAGCGG